GGGGCAGGCAGGGGUCAGAAGGAUGCAGACACUCUUACAUUGAGAUCUGCUGAUGGACCUGCCUCCUGCCAGUGCCAGGUAGGGGCCUGGUGACAGCAUCAUGAGGCAAAUAAGAGAGAAAAAGGCUCCACGGAGCAUAACAGGGUCUGACCCAGGAAUCCAGGAGUUCAUAUAGGAGCCCUGCCCUUCCAUUGCUGUGACAGACAGAAUGAACAGGAGCCUAACUUAACAGCCCUCUGAGAGACUCUACCCAGAAGAUGACUGAGACAGAUGGAUAUACCUACAGACAAACAUUGGACGGAGGUUGGGGACCUCCAUGGCAGAGUUAGGGAAGGAGAUGACAACCUCACAGGAAGACCAACAGUGUCAACUAAUCUGGACCUUCUAGGAGUUCACAGAGACAGAGCCACCAAGCAAAGAGCAUACAUAGGCUGGUCUGAGCCCCCUGAUUCCUAUGUAGCACAGGGCUGUCAUAUCUGGCUGCCUCAGUGGGAGAGGAUGUGCCUAAUCUUGCAGGGAUUUGGUGCACAAGGGGUCGCACAGCCUCUGCCUUUGGGGCUUGAAGUAUGUAUUCAUCAGCAAUUCCGGGUCUCUAGCUUACCAACAUAGACCUUGGCACUUCUUGGUCUUCAGCAUCAUGGGAGCCAAACAGACAAGACCCUCCUGGAAGCAGCCAUCAAUUACUGUUGUAUUAGUAGAAGCCAAGUAUUCAAGGAUCA
Long non-coding RNA from Mus musculus (house mouse), 719 nucleotides. RefSeq annotates it as predicted gene 13850. Lineage: Eukaryota; Metazoa; Chordata; Mammalia; Rodentia; Muridae. The record is from RefSeq and is a predicted model, not a curated record. The transcript has 3 exons.